AGAAGAUACUGUUUCUAUACUUAAUAUUGAAUUCUCGUCUCAAGCUGUAAGGAAUAGCAUUUUACAUGUUUUUAAGAAAACACUUUUCUGUUCUGAAAAGAACAGAAUAUUCAAUUUCAACACCAUUCACAAGCGUCUUGAAAUACUGCUACUAUUUAUGCCUUUUGUUCCCCGUAGUGAAUUUAUAAUCGACGGAGCCAAC
RNAcentral lists this long non-coding RNA (202 nucleotides) under Mytilus galloprovincialis (Mediterranean mussel). Lineage: Eukaryota; Metazoa; Mollusca; Bivalvia; Mytilida; Mytilidae. The record is from RNAcentral.